UUUUUCUUUUAAAAUGUUCCAUUUUAAGUUGGUUAUUUCUGAUUUAUAUUUAAAAGCAAAUAAUAAUGAUAUGGUAGGAGAUACACACCAAACAGGAUGUGUAAAUUAUUAUAUAAUAAGUAUUGUGCAAUAGCAAGAAAUUUUCAAUUGCACAGUAUUGCACAAUAGCAAGAAAUCUUCAAUUGCACAGUAUUGCGCAAUAGCAAGAAAUCUUCAAUUUAACAGUAUUGCGCAAUAGCAAGAAAUAUCCAAUAGCACAAUAUUGCGCAAUAGCAAGAAAUUGUCAAUUGUACAGUAUUGCGCAAUAGCAAGAAAUAUUCAAUUGCACAGUAUUGUGCAAAAGAAGAUACUUCGUAUAAAUUGCUUAUUUCUUGAUCAAUUUCAAUGGGGUUUUAUUCUUGAAUUCUUGGGGUUCUUUAAUAUGCUGAAUCUAACUGUGUAUUAAGUUUUUGGAUUUUGGGCCCCGUUUUUAAAUUAUUCCACAUUGAGGUCCAAAGGGUCCAAAAUUUAACUUUGUUUGAUUUCAUCAAAAAUUGAAUUAUUGGGGUUCUUUGAUAUGCCGAUUCUAACCGUGUAUUUAGAUUUUUAAUUUUGGGUCCCGUUUUUUAAAUUGGUCUACAUUAAGGUCCAAAGGGUCCAAAAUUAAACUUAGUUUGAUUUUAACAAAAAUUGAAUUCUUAGGGUACUUUGAUAUGCUGAAUCUAAACAUGUGUUUAGAUUUUUGAUUAUGGGACCAGUUUUCAAGUUUGUCCAAGUUGGGGUCCAAAAUUAAACUUUGUUUGAUUUCAACAAAAAUUGAAUAUAUGGGGUUCUUUGAUAUGCUGAAUCUAACCAUGUAUUUUGAUUUUGGACAUUGGACCAUAAUAGGUAAAUUAAAAAAAUUGAAGUUCUUAGACCACAUUCUUUCUGUGUCAGAAACCUAUGCUGUGUCAAAUAUUUAAUCACAAUCCAAAUUCAGAGCUGUAUCCAGCUUGAAUGUUGUGUCCAUACUUGCCCCAACUGUUCAGGGUUCGACCUCUGCGGUCGUAUCAAGCUGCGCCCAGCGAAGCAUUUUAUUGGUUAUUAUCUUGAACAUUAUUAUAGAUAGAGAUAAACUGUAAACAGCAAUAAUGUUCAGCAAAAUAAGAUCUACAAAUAAGUCAACUUGACCAAAAUGGUCAGUUGACCCCUUAAGGAGUUAUUGCCCUUUAUAGUAAAUUUUUAACCAUUUUUCGUAAUUUUUUGUAAUUUUUUACAAAAAUCUUCUCCUCUGAAACUACUAAGACAAAUUUAACCAAACUUGUCCGCAAUCAUCAUUAGGGUAUCUAGUUUAAAAAAUGUGUCCGAUGACCCCGCCCGCGAACCAAGAUGGCCGACAUGGCUAAAAAAUAGUACAUAGGGUAAAAUGCAGUUUUUGGCUCAUAUCUCUGAAACCAAAGCAUUUAGAGCAAAUCUGAUGAGGAUAAAAUUGUUCAUUAGGUCAAGAUCUAUCUGCCCUGAAAUUUUCAGACCAAUCAGGCAACCCGUUGUUAGGUUGCUGCCCCUGAAUUGGUAAUUUUAAGAAAAUUUUGCAGCUUUUGGUUAUUAUCUUGAAUAUUGUUAUAGAUAGAGAUAAACUGUUAACAGCAAUAAUGUACAGCAAAGUUAGAUCUACAAAUAAGGCAACAUGACCAAAAUUGUCAAUUGACCCCUUAAGGAGUUAUUGCUCUUUAUAGUCAAUUUUUUACAAUUUUCAUAAAUUUUGUAAAUUUUUGUAAAUUUUUACAAAGUAUUUUCCACUGUAACUACCGGGCCAAGUUCAUUAUAGAUAGAGAUAAUAGUAAGGAGCAAGAAUGUUCAGUAAAGUAAGAUCUACAAACACAUCACCAAAACACAAUUUUGUCAUGAAUCCAUCUGUGUCCUUUGUUUAAUAUGCACAUAGACCAAGGUGAGCGACACAGGCUCUUUAGAGCCUCUAGUUUUAUGUUACAUUCUUUUAGUAUUUUAUGUGACAGCUUCUGUUUUGGUUUGAAUCAAUGUUUUGAUGAGAUAUUUAUGCUAAUAAAACCAUCAUUUUGACAAUUAAAGGUAUUUAUUACUUUUUA
This is a long non-coding RNA of Mytilus californianus (California mussel), 2063 nucleotides long. RefSeq lists it as uncharacterized. The record is from RefSeq and is a predicted model, not a curated record. Lineage: Eukaryota; Metazoa; Mollusca; Bivalvia; Mytilida; Mytilidae. The transcript has 2 exons.